ACCUCCUGGCCAUGGGGGACGUGCUGUCCACGCACCUGGACGACGCCCGGCGCCAGCACAUCGCAGGUCAGAGGAGCACCAGCCUAUGGCCCUGGACCCCUGGGGUAUUCAGCGAGUUCCUGGAGGACGGUGGGAUGGGGCUGUGGUUCCAGCAAGAAAAAACCGGGAAGAUCCUGACGGAGUUCCUCCAGUUCUAUGAAGACCAGUAUGCCCUGGUCUCUGGCGCAUCUCUUCCCUCUUGUCCCGAAGAUCUGCGCCUCUAGUGCCUUUUGAGGGGUUCCCAUCAUCCCUCCCUGAUAUUGUAUUGAAAAUAUUAUGCACACUGUUCAUGCUUCUACUAAUCAAUAAACGCUUUAUUUAAA
RNAcentral lists this long non-coding RNA (362 nucleotides) under Homo sapiens (human). RNAcentral describes it as "non-protein coding lnc-FAM129B-2:1". The record is from RNAcentral. Lineage: Eukaryota; Metazoa; Chordata; Mammalia; Primates; Hominidae.